RNAcentral lists this ribosomal RNA (268 nucleotides) under uncultured prokaryote. Its description in RNAcentral is "partial 16S ribosomal RNA". It matches the Rfam family "Archaeal small subunit ribosomal RNA", at positions 474 to 743 of the family's 1478-position model. The record is from RNAcentral.
CACCAGCGCCACUAGUGGCAAUCGUGUAUUUGGCCUAAAGCGUCCGUAGCCGGAUUGGCAAAUUCUCUGUGAAAUUGCACAGCUCAACUGGGCAGCGUGCAGGGAAGACUACCAAUCUUGGAACCGGGAGGGGUACAGAGUAUUCCAGGGGAAGCGGUAAAAUGCUAUAAUCCCUGGAGGACUACCGAUGGCGAAGGCACUGUACCAGAACGGAUUCGACGGUGAGGGACGAAAGCCAGGGGAGCGAUCCGGAUUAGAUACCCUCGUA